RNAcentral lists this ribosomal RNA (506 nucleotides) under Eimeria marsupialium. RNAcentral describes it as "SSU rRNA". It matches the Rfam family "Eukaryotic small subunit ribosomal RNA", at positions 577 to 1086 of the family's 1831-position model. Lineage: Eukaryota; Apicomplexa; Conoidasida; Eucoccidiorida; Eimeriidae. The record is from RNAcentral.
AGGUAAUUCCCCGCCCCAAUAGUGUAUAUUAGAGUUGUUGCAGUUAAAAAGCUCGUAGUUGGAUUUCUGUCGUGGUCAUCCGGUUCCGCCCGUAUGGGUGUGCACCUGGAUUGACCUCGGCAUUCUUCCGGUUGCAUAUCACGCUUAAUUGCGUGAUUUGUUUUUCCGGAACAUUUACUUUGAGAAAAAUAGAGUGUUUCAAGCAGGCUUGUCGCCUUGAAUACUGCAGCAUGGAAUAAUAAGAUAGGACCUUGGUUCUAUUUUGUUGGUUUCUAGGACUAGGGUAAUGAUUAAUAGGGACAGUUGGGGGCAUUCGUAUUUAACUGUCAGAGGUGAAAUUCUUAGAUUUGUUAAAGACGAACUACUGCGAAAGCAUUUGCCAAGGAUGUUUUCAUUAAUCAAGAACGACAGUAGGGGGUUUGAAGACGAUUAGAUACCGUCGUAAUCUCUACCAUAAACUAUGCCGACUAGAGAUAGGGAAAUGCCUACCUUGCUUUCUCCUGAGA